GCAUGGCCACCCCAAGAUCUUCCUGUUCCAGGCCUGCCGUGGUGGGUACAGGGACCCUGGUGUGGGGCCAAGAGCUCUCCCAUGGUACCGGCAUUGGUUGAGAGCACCCCCAGCCAUCCCCACCCAGGCAGACGUUCUUCAGAUCCAUGCUGAUGCCCCAGGCAGCCUUCUCUCCACUCCAGGGGGCUCAGGCCAAGCAGACAUCCUUACCGUGUAUGCCGCUGCUGAGGGUAAGAAGCCCACGGUUAUUGUGGGCCUAGUUUCCUGCCCUAAGACCUGGAGUUGCUUUACUGUCAGCAGGUGUCCAGCUAAGUCACUUCCCUCCCACAGGUCAACAGACGGGUGUGUGAGCUGGACGUCCUAGGGCCAGACAGUGAUGAACUGCGCAAAGCCUGCCUGGAGAUCCGCAGCUCGCUCAGGCGCCGGCUCUGUUUAUAGGACUAACAACCUCGCCACUUCCCCUGCAUCCCCUCUUCACAUCCUGUCAUCGAUGCAGCAAUGGGCGUGGGAGCUCAGAUAGCGCCAAUAAAUAUGUAUUCACG
RNAcentral lists this long non-coding RNA (542 nucleotides) under Rattus norvegicus (Norway rat). RNAcentral's name for it is "long non-coding RNA NONRATT005230". The record is from RNAcentral. Lineage: Eukaryota; Metazoa; Chordata; Mammalia; Rodentia; Muridae.